This 497-nucleotide ribosomal RNA is filed under the name uncultured bacterium. RNAcentral's name for it is "partial 16S ribosomal RNA". It matches the Rfam family "Bacterial small subunit ribosomal RNA", at positions 28 to 507 of the family's 1533-position model. The record is from RNAcentral.
GAUGAACGCUGGCGGCGUGCCUAAUACAUGCAAGUCGAACGGACGGACGAGAAGUUUGCUUCUCUGAUGUUAGCGGCAGGCGGGAGUAUCACACGUGGGUAACCCACCUAUCUGACUGGGAAAACUUCGGGAAUCCGGAGCUUAUCGCGGAUGAUAUUUUGAACCGCAUGGUUCAAAAGUGAAAUACGGUCUUGCUGUCACUUAUGGAUGGUUCCGUGCUGGAUGAGCUAGUUGGUAAGGUAACGGCUUACGAAGGCAACGAUGCAUAGCCGAUGUGGGCGGCGGAUCGGCCACACUGGAGCUGGGACACGGUCCAGACUCCUACGGGAGGCCGCAGUAGGGAAUCUUCCGCAAUGGGCGAGAGCCUGACGGAGCGACGCCGCGUGAGUGAUGAAGGUCUUCGGAGCGUAAAGCUCUGUUAUUAGGGAUGAACAUAUGUGUAAGUAACUGAGCACAUCUUGACGGUACCUGAUCAGAAAGCCACGGCUAACUACGUG